Molecule: ribosomal RNA, 162 nt
Filed under: uncultured bacterium
Lineage: Bacteria
Description: partial 16S rRNA
Rfam family: Bacterial small subunit ribosomal RNA
Source: RNAcentral
GGAAUCUUCGGCAAUGGGGGCAACCCUGACCGAGCAACGCCGCGUGAGUGAAGAAGGUUUUCGGAUCGUAAAGCUCUGUUGUAAGAGAAGAACGUGUGUGAGAGUGGAAAGUUCACACAGUGACGGUAACUUACCAGAAAGGGACAGCUAACUACGUGCCAA